Molecule: transfer RNA, 79 nt
Filed under: Escherichia coli
Lineage: Bacteria; Pseudomonadati; Pseudomonadota; Gammaproteobacteria; Enterobacterales; Enterobacteriaceae
Description: tRNA-Arg
Rfam family: tRNA
About the family: Transfer RNA (tRNA) molecules are approximately 80 nucleotides in length. Their secondary structure includes four short double-helical elements and three loops (D, anti-codon, and T loops). Further hydrogen bonds mediate the characteristic L-shaped molecular structure. tRNAs have two regions of fundamental functional importance: the anti-codon, which is responsible for specific mRNA codon recognition, and the 3' end, to which the tRNAs corresponding amino acid is attached (by aminoacyl-tRNA synthetases). tRNAs cope with the degeneracy of the genetic code in two manners: having more than one tRNA (with a specific anti-codon) for a particular amino acid; and 'wobble' base-pairing, i.e. permitting non-standard base-pairing at the 3rd anti-codon position.
Source: RNAcentral
GAAUCCCCGCCUCACCGCCAUUUAGAGUACUCGGCUACGAACCGAGCGGUCGGAGGUUCGAAUCCUCCCGGAUGCACCA